CUACGGAGGGGGUUAGCGUUGUUCGGAAUCACUGGGCGUAAAGCGUACGUAGGCGGACUGGAAAGUUGGGGGUGAAAUCCCGGGGCUCAACCCCGGAACUGCCUCCAAAACUUCCAAUCUAGAGAUCGAGAGAGGUGAGUGGAAUUCCAAGUGUAGAGGUGAAAUUCGUAGAUAUUUGGAGGAACACCACUGGCGAAGGCGGCUCACUGGCUCGAUACUGACGCUGAGGUACGAAAGCGUGGGGAGCAAACAGGAUUAGAAACCCUAGUAGUCC
Molecule: ribosomal RNA, 274 nt
Filed under: uncultured bacterium
Lineage: Bacteria
Description: partial 16S ribosomal RNA
Rfam family: Bacterial small subunit ribosomal RNA
Source: RNAcentral